CUACUAUGCAAAGCAAAUGUACAGAUUCAAGGUUAUCCCUAUAAAAAUUUUGUCAUUUAGAAAAGAGAAUUGCUAAAGUGAGAAAAAAAAUUCAUAUGCUCAUCAUUGCCCCCCAAAAACCCUAAACUAAAAGCAGGCAUGGGGGAGGUAAGUAGCAAGGACAGGAAGAAGGGAGCAAUUAAAUAAACGUCUUUAAAGCACACACACUACACAGUGUUCAUCAUCGGAAGUAGAGUAUAAGGCAACGUUCUCCAUAGAAAAAGGGGGAUCAGGGAGUGGGUGGGUAGCUUUACUUUUAAAUAGAAAGUUGGAAUGUGCUGGAGGAGAGUCAGGGUGGGGUGGGGCGUGUGGAGUGGAGGCGGACUGGCUGCCAGUGGAGCCCUGGGUGCAGGGCCCCGGACGUCCAGGCGCCCGCAGAGAGGGAGGGGGCAUGGCACAAUGCGACUCCGGCAGUGUUGGGGGGAGGGGGCUCACUUUGCUCCUCAACGGAGUGAAAUUCAUGUUUUUCCUUUGGAAAUAAGGGUUCCCACUCGUCCUGAUUUAGAACGUCUCAUUGGGCAUGGCCAGUGUCCAUGGUUUGGGCAGGCCAGGAGCUUGUGGUGAGAGGGGAGGGCCAGGGCGGAGCCAAGGGGCUUCAGAAGGAGGUGCAUAUGGGGCAGCAGAGCCCCUUCCUGUGGGGACAGUCGCACAAUAGGAACGGGGGUUGAGGCGGGCCCAUGACAGCGUGGGCCUCCUUUCUGCCAGAGGCCCAGGCAGGUCUGCAUCUGUGGGGCCUCUGCCUCAGUUGGCCUUACAAGUUCUUCGUGACCAGGUGGGUCUUGUAAUGCUUGGUGAGGUGGUCACUCCUCAUGAAGCGCUUCUGACACUGGGCACACUCGAAGCGUUUGUCCCCUGUGUGGGUGCGGGCAUGCCGCUGGAGCUUGUCGCUCCGUGUGAACCUCUUGCCACAGAAGAACCAGUUGCAGACAAAGGGCCGCUCGCCGGUGUGCAGGCGCACGUGAGCCCGCAGCAGGGAUGUCUUACGGAAGGUCUUGCCGCAGUCGGGGAUGUGGCACACGUGCUUCUUCUUGCCCUGCUCUCCAGACCUCUUGUCCCCGUCCUUGCAGUUGGGACACGUGCAGGCCAUGCGGCGCCGCUUUUCCCCAGGCUGGGUCUCUCCAGCCAGGGCCUGUUCCAUCUGCAGCUGGAUCUGGGUGGGGCUCAGCCCACUGAUGGUCAGGUUGUUUCCAGAUACAUUCUG
Long non-coding RNA from Bos taurus (domestic cattle), 1240 nucleotides. The record is from Ensembl. NCBI's taxonomy places the organism in Eukaryota, Metazoa, Chordata, Mammalia, Artiodactyla, Bovidae.